This 567-nucleotide long non-coding RNA is filed under the name Strigops habroptila (Kakapo). RNAcentral describes it as "lncRNA (ENSSHBG00005006081.1)". The record is from RNAcentral. Lineage: Eukaryota; Metazoa; Chordata; Aves; Psittaciformes; Psittacidae.
GAAAAGACAGCUCAGCUAUCCAGUCGGAAACGGAAGAAGGAGGGUUCGAUUCCCCCUGUCACCGUAGCGCCGAGCUACUGUCGUGUCUGGAGAAAGCUCACCAGGUGCUCUGGUUCUCUCCGAAUUGCCCACGUGAUCCCAUCAAAAGAAUGAUGAUCAGAAAGAUCCUUCUGCAUCAGGACUUCUGUGACAGCAGGGCAGCACUUGGCAUGUCUGGCAAACUCCUUGGAACGUUGUUUAGGAGUGCCUGAGAUGGGGUGACUUCAGGACUGUUAUUGUGCUGUCUAGCCUGGGUUUGCAGGAGGAAUGCCCUAAAAUACAAACUGACUGGAAUUUUUCUGCAUAUGUUUUUGUCUGAUACAUAUUUCUGUCACCAGUAGGUGGCUUUCUACCCAUCUGCAUGCGCUGUUACUAUCUCAGACCCCAGCACGCAAGCAUUCUGUUUGAAAUGGCCUCGAAGCAGAAAGUCUGAGGAAUAACUACAGUCCUUUAAUCUCCUGGACCACCUGAACAAAGAGGUUUCAGUUUACCAAAAGCACAGUGAAUACUGAGAGAUAGUAAUGUUCC